UGCUAAUCGAUGAAUUAAAGCAUGAUAUACAAGAAUCGAACUAUACACGUCGACUAAACAUGCACUUAGGAGCGAAACCGAUGAUAACCCACCUCUAGUGAAAUUCCUGGCAGCAAGAGGAUCUCGGAUCACCAGCAACACUGCUAGAAACACCACCAAACCAGCAACAAAGCCCCUCAAGAUCUAGAUAUUACAAUUCACCCAAAAUUCACAAAAACCAUCAAUUUCAGCACUUAAGCUAGGAUUUAUCUAAUUUCAAUGUCGAAACUCACCUAAUGAUCUCCAAUUCGGGUGAGGACAGAUCCAAAUCCAACAACUACUGAUGGGUGAUCAAUCUCAGGUCCAAAAUCCCACUGCCUACAAAGUUAGCAUCAAGAAAAGCUCAAAAUCCCAAUUUUCAGCUCAAAGUCAACAGCAGUCCAGAAAAACCUCAGUUCGACCAAGCUAACCUCAUCCAAAAUCUGCAAUUCAGGCCUUCGUGGAUUCCUCUGGAAGUCUAGAAUCCAGCAAACCAAGUUUC
Molecule: long non-coding RNA, 520 nt
Filed under: Ananas comosus (pineapple)
Lineage: Eukaryota; Viridiplantae; Streptophyta; Magnoliopsida; Poales; Bromeliaceae
Description: long non-coding RNA (ACOM_LNC028136)
Source: RNAcentral